UAGGAGUUUGGACUUGAACUUGGGGAAAUCAGAGGUCACAGAAGGCCUUAAACAACAGAAGAAUGCUGAAGUUGGAAGUGAGUUUUACAGUACAACACGUGGAACACCUAUUGCAGAGGAAUCAGGAAGAGCAGGCCAGAGUUCUGCAAUGAGGAUUUCAUUCUGCCUGGAAGUUGAGGGAUGGAUGAUGUCAACUUUCAAGGUCUCUUAAACUUGAAUUGAGUUUCCCUGUGUUACUCUAAGCAUCAAAACAAGGUGUUAUGGGCUGAAUAAUUGUGUCCCUCUAAAAUUCCUUUGUUGAAAUCCUAACCCCCAAGGUGACGGUAUUAAAAGGAGGGGAAUUUAAGAGGUGAUUAGGUCAGGUCCUGAGGAGAGAGCCCUUAUGAAUGGGAUGAAUUUCCUUGUAAGAGACCCUGGAGAGUUCUCUCACCCUUUUUCCCUGUCAUAUGAGGACACAGUAAGAAGGUGGUUUUCUGCAUGCCAGGAAGAGAGCCCUCACCAGAAUCUGACCAUACUGGCAUCAUGACCUCAGAAUUCCAGCCUCCAGAACAGUGAGAAAUAAAUUUCUGUUGUUUAUGAGCCACCCAGCAUGUAGUAUUUUGCUAAAGCAACCCAAAGGAACUAAGACAAGAGGUAGAACUGUUCUUAUUAUAAAUGGAGCUGAUAAUGGAGUACAAAGUCUCAGUUGGUGAUGAACCAAUGAGUAUAGUGUAUGUAAAAUUCUUGACAUGAUAUCUAUCAUAUAGAUGUAUUCUGUUUAUAUUAGCUUUUAAUAAUCAUAAUGGUGAAGAUAAAACCAUCCAGUAUACCCCUUGAACAGGGAAUAUUUUGGCAGAAGAGGUGAGGGCAGGGGAGAGGAGGCAGAAAUGUGUUUACAAUGAGUACCUGAGGACCUUUCUCACAGCCAAUUCCACUUUCUGGAACCUUGAAUAAAAACUUUGAGAAAAAUCAAGAACCCAAAUUUUCCCUACGGCAGAGUUAGUCAUCACCAGUCUAUGAAAAUUAAACAGAUUUUAUUGACUUAAAGAACUGGUAGCUUGGAUGUUGUCAGAUAUUGACAGUCUGUGAAUUAAUUCAUUAGAUUUUUUCCCCAUCCUAGGGACAUGAUUUUGGUCAUUCAAUAUGAAAAAACAAAACCUCAAAGAAAAGCAAAGGGGUAGUAGAAAAGGAGGAGGAAAGCCUAUGUAUU
Molecule: long non-coding RNA, 1189 nt
Filed under: Homo sapiens (human)
Lineage: Eukaryota; Metazoa; Chordata; Mammalia; Primates; Hominidae
Description: HSALNT0047105
Source: RNAcentral